AGGUUGCAAGUUUUCAUCCUUUUCUUAUUCAGCUAAUGAGGUAGUUUGAUUAUCCACUUUUUAUGAAUAAUUAGUUAUUUUGUGAUCUUUUUUGACCACAACCAAAGCAUGCACCAAUGUUCCAACGACAAUCAUUUACCAUAUAAUUUUCACUACAUCGAAAAUACUUAACGUUAUCAAACAAUCUAUAAUUAUCACUCACUAACCUC
Molecule: long non-coding RNA, 209 nt
Filed under: Elaeis guineensis (African oil palm)
Lineage: Eukaryota; Viridiplantae; Streptophyta; Magnoliopsida; Arecales; Arecaceae
Description: long non-coding RNA (EGUI_LNC036843)
Source: RNAcentral